CCUACGGGUGGCAGCCGUGGGGAAUAUUGGACAAUGGGGGGAACCCUGAUCCAGCCAUGCCGCGUGUGUGAAGAAGGCCCUCGGGUUGUAAAGCACUUUCAGUGAGGAAGAACGCCUGGUGGUUAAUACCCAUCAGGAAAGACAUCACUCACAGAAGAAGCACCGGCUAACUCCGUGCCAGCAGCCGCGGUAAUACGGAGGGUGCGAGCGUUAAUCGGAAUUACUGGGCGUAAAGCGCGCGUAGGUGGCUUGAUAAGCCGGUUGUGAAAGCCCCGGGCUCAACCUGGGAACGGCAUCCGGAACUGUCAAGCUAGAGUGCAGGAGAGGAAGGUAGAAUUCCCGGUGUAGCGGGGAAAUGCGUAGAGAUCGGGAGGAAUACCAGUGGCGAAGGCGGCCUUCUGGACUGACACUGACACUGAGGUGCGAAAGCAUGGGUAGCAAACAGGAUUAGAUACCCGGGUAGUC
RNAcentral lists this ribosomal RNA (465 nucleotides) under Vreelandella stevensii. Its description in RNAcentral is "partial 16S ribosomal RNA". It matches the Rfam family "Bacterial small subunit ribosomal RNA", at positions 338 to 795 of the family's 1533-position model. Lineage: Bacteria; Pseudomonadati; Pseudomonadota; Gammaproteobacteria; Oceanospirillales; Halomonadaceae. The record is from RNAcentral.